GCCCCUCGCCCCGCCCGGGGCUGGGGAAACUGAGGCUGGGUGGCUCCCCGCAAGCGCUCGGCGAGCUGGGGACUGGAGGGGCGAGAAAGUUGUUUGGGUAUCAGGUUAGUGAUUUCAGCCAGACUGCAGCUUGGAUGUCACUAAGUUCAGCCACUGGGCUGGGCACCGCCAAGCAUCGACUGCUCAUUCUUUCUGUGCCGCUGCGCCCAGUAACUGUCCCCUCUGCUCACCCACAACCCUAGCCAGAAACCUGGGAUGCCUGCACCGCUCCCUUACGCCCUACUACAACAGAGAGGAGAUCUUGCUAUGUUGCCCAGACUGAUCUCGAACUCCUGGCCACAAGUGAUCCUCCCAGCUGGCCUCCCAAAGUGCUGAGAUUACAGGUGUGAGCCACCAUGCCCGGCCUCUCAGUAUUUCUUGAAUCCAUCUCCACUGCCACCACUUUGUUCUGGCUUUAUUACCUUGUUCUUUUAUUUCCUCAAUAAAUAUUUGUUGCUCUCCCAUGAUCCUCAUAACAGCCAAGGAUGCAUAGGUGAACAAGAUAGAUAAGAUCUCUGCUUUCUAAGAGUUUACAUUCCAGUGAGGAGAAGUAGGCCAUAAACACAUAAGGAAAUACCGGAUCUUGCCGAGAUGAUGGAACAGGCAGAGAUGGAACAAAGAUGAUGGAACAGGCAGAGUCUAGGUGGUCAGGGGUGAACUCAGAGGCAGGCGGGUGACCUGAGACCCAAAUGAGAGGAGGGAGGCAGGCGUUCAAAGCCCCAGGAGAGGCCGGCGAGGUGGCUCACGCCUGUAAUCCCAACACUUCAGGAGGCCGAGGCAGGUGGAUUGCCUUCAGGAGUUCAAG
RNAcentral lists this long non-coding RNA (844 nucleotides) under Homo sapiens (human). RNAcentral describes it as "non-protein coding lnc-BAG5-2:1". Lineage: Eukaryota; Metazoa; Chordata; Mammalia; Primates; Hominidae. The record is from RNAcentral.